AGGACGAACGCUGGCGGCGUGCUUAAAACAUGCAAGUCGAACGGGAUCCAUCCUUCGGGAGAAGAUCUAGUGGCGAACGGGUGAGUAACACGUGAGCAACCUACCCCAGAGACUGGGAUAAGCGAGGGAAACUUCGUCUAAUACCGGAUACUCUCAUAGCGCUACUAACGCUAUGAGCAAAUGGUUUUUCGCUUUGGGAUGGGCUCGCGGCCUAUCAGCUUGUUGGUGGGUAAUGGCCUACCAAGGCAUCGACGGGUAGCUGGUCUGAGAGGAUGGUCAGCCACACUGGGACUGAGACACGGCCCAGACUCCGUACGGGAGCAGCAGUUAGGAAUCUGCGCAAUGGGACAAAGCCCGACGCAGCAACGCCGCGGUCGAGGGAUGGACGGCGUUUCGGGUUGUAAACCGUCGUUUACAGCAAGGAACGAAAGUGACGUACCU
Molecule: ribosomal RNA, 441 nt
Filed under: uncultured soil bacterium
Lineage: Bacteria
Description: bacterial SSU rRNA
Rfam family: Bacterial small subunit ribosomal RNA
Source: RNAcentral